Long non-coding RNA from Numida meleagris (helmeted guineafowl), 3520 nucleotides. RefSeq lists it as uncharacterized. The transcript is spliced from 4 exons. Lineage: Eukaryota; Metazoa; Chordata; Aves; Galliformes; Numididae. The record is from RefSeq and is a predicted model, not a curated record.
GAUAAAAAUCUGGUACCCCUUUAAAAGUGGGUUUUGCCCAUCUCUAUUUAAGAGGUCAUUUAAGUGAUUAUUUUAGUACUGCAUUACCUUGUGUUACAGAACAGGGAAGGUCUACUCUCUUCUGGUUUCUGCCUUCCAUUCCUGCGGGUCAGUUCUUGCCUUCCAGUGAGCCCACUGGCCAUGGCAGAAGAUAACUCGGUCCCAGGCAGAACAAGUUUCCUUUUCCUAUUGGCCUUGCUUGACUUUUUCCAGUGUUUACUCAAGGUCCAGCAGGUGCAAGACCCAUUAAAGUGAGGAACAACACAGGGCAGUGUUUUAGAUCCAAUAACCACAGUGCCUGGGAAGGGUCAGUCUGAAAGCUUUACCAGAAUUUCAUCUGAGCUGGAGAAUGUGGAAUUCAAAGGGAGAACAGUUACUUGAUUAUAGUAAGGAUUAUUAGAAGCGAAAUAAGAGAAUUUCCACUAGACCAAAGACUGCUUUUAAUCAAAUUGGUUUUGAAUAAGAGGAGUGAAAAAUAAAUCAUAAACCAAAAAAUGUGAAUGUGAUUGUUGUGUAAGUACCACAAAUAACCUUCAGUCUUUGGAAGCUGCCAAGUUUCCUUAAGAUUCAAGUAUUUACAGCUUAUGGGAAGGAAAUAAGAUUUUCUAUUUAUUUUUUUAUCCUUUGCACUGUAAGCCAGAUUUUCUUCUCAUUUAUGCAGGUGGAGGUCAAAUACAGUCACAGAAAUUGUAUUUCAUUUAGAAGUGUGUAAUAAAAUAGUCGUUUUAAAUAUACUUGAUAUUAAAUGAAAUCUUUUUCCAUACCCAGUCCUCUUGCAUUAGAUCACACUCUCCUCUUUACAGUGAAAUCGUUUCUGGACAGCACAUAGAUGCAUUGGAAAUAUCUAAUAUAUUCUGCACUAAUUUAUUUGGCCAGUGAUCUCAUCUAUUUCCCAAAACACUUUAACGGAUGCAAUUUGACCUAAAGUUUGAUUGUGAUCGAGUGACUUAAAGUGAUCACAUUCAAAAUGGCCAAAUGUUUGUGCAAAGAGCAUGCAGCCUGUCAGCUAAACUGAUCCAUCCUUGAGAUCUUGCAUGUCAAAGUCAAUCUCAGAGCAAAUAUUUGUGUGUCCUUCAUCACUUUAAACCACUGAGAAUGUACUUUAUCCAAAGGAGAGGCAGACAAUAAUGUAAGGAAUGGAAUUUGGCUCCCUGCAAGGGUCUGGGGAACUGGAGACCUGGGUGCUUCACGGUGAGUUGUUGGCUUUGAAUGUUUUAAGUGUCUUAGUCAUUUGAGACGUUUUUUAUCUUCCUUGCUCCUUUAAUUUCCUUUGGUUUCCCUUUCUUUCUCUUACAUAAAUGCAAAGGAAAAGGAUCACAUAGGGCCAGAGCUCAGAUAUUCCAUGAGGCAAGUUGUAUUAAUGGGAGAAAUGGAAGAGCUGUGUGCCUUGUUCAUCAGCUUCAUAAAGAAUUGAGAAUUAAAUCACACUUUUUUUUUCAGUAGCCAAACCUGAAAUGAUAGAUUUCCAUCAGGCUUGUUUACGGGUACACAGCCCACAAGGUAUGGAGGUCAUAUUGCAAACAGACUUUGCUUUGAAACAGAUGCUUAUUGCAGACUCUCUGCCUCUUUACAGUGGAGAGAUGGGAAAACAGCUCCUGAAUUGAAGAAUGUCUUGUAUUUCGUGUAAACCUACCCUGCAGAGAGGCUCUUUUCUGUAUUUCAAGAGGCUGCAGGUCUGAUUAUUAUUACUGGGGUUUGUCAGGAUUGUGAAGUGUUUGUGGAUAUGCGCCUGCUUGUUGGACUGAAAAAAGAAGGUUGUGUUCAUCUUCCAUUAUUUCCAGCCCCAUGAUUGGGCUCACCAUGACAGGUGUGUGACUGCAAUAUCUAGAAGAACAAAGUGAGAGGAUGUUAGCAACAGGUCACCGGGCAUAGGAAACUGUGCUGUGACCCAGCGAUCAAAGUCAAGUAAAUGUUAAAUUGAAUCACAGAUGGAAAUAUUUUAUAAAGCAUGUAUGGACAGUAGCAUUAAUUAAGCACCUUGAGAAAAAUAAUGUUACAUUUAAGGUCCCAAAUUCACUGUUUGCAUACUGUAUGCUUUCAUGCAAAUCGUUUGUGUCAUUUAUAUGCAAAUAUAUAAUUGUAUACAUGUGUGAAAACCCAUAUGGACAUGGUUUGAUUGAUGUUAGUCCAGGGUCUCUAAGUGCCAUGAAGUUAACUUAUGGGUAGAAAAACAACCAUAGAUUUCCCUUCCCUGGGAUCAGCACAACUUCAUGGUCAGUGAUGCUCAUUCUUCUGACUUCUUGCUGCUAAUUUACUUAACAAUGGUCAUGUCCACAGACCCAGGAGGCUGUAUUUUCAUCCCAUUUGCACAAAUGAAGAUAAAUCAUAGCUGCUAAGAAAAGAUGAGUUAAUUCUGAAUAUGAACACCAGUAUUGGCAUUGCAUACUGAGCUAUUGUGGUAAGGCAGAUAGGAGAAAUGGUAAGUAUGGCAACUCACAAUCAUCUUUUUUAGUCAUGCUUCUAAGAUUUCUGCCACCGCGACCCUGAAAGGAAACAGCUAUCAUUUCAAAAGUUUUGGAUAAAGGUCUGGUCAUGAUGUCAGAAACGUGUGGGUGUUUGAGGGAACCAACACAAUUCAAAGGACAGACAUUAAAAUACGUUUUUAACUAUGUGGGACCUGCUUCCCCACUCCCAUAUGUUUCGUAGAUCGAUAUUAGCUCCUCUACAGUCAAUAGAGCUCAGUGAUGUAAAACUGCUGUGUGCAUGUUCUUAAUGAUUCAUAGUUUUGAAGCCUAGCCAGUUCUAUAAUUCAACCCUCGCAGAGGCAAACAACCUCCUGCCAAUCUGCCCUUUAUUCUCCCAUCCUGUUAUUUGUUAGGCAUCUGUAGCCCAUUAACUGGCUUACUAUGGUAUUAGUAUGUGGUAUAAUUAUUCAUAGUCAGAUCUGCUGAUAAGAAAUCGAAUGCUCCAGUAAACAACUGACUGCUUUUUUUCCAUGACAUCAACAACAAAGUUAAAUGGGGUACUGGAAAAAGGAUAAUUCCCAGGAUCACGAUAAAAGAUUACGUAGUUCUGUAGCAGAAGGGAAAAUCUGUUUCCAAAGCACUCAUUAGGAAUGUUCUCUGUCAUUUCCAGCAGACACACUACAGCAUGUCUUCUGCUCUCACCAGGGACAUAUAAACACAUGUGACUGAUGAGUAUGUACUGGGGCUGUCCAGCUUAAAGAAAGAGGAGUGAAAUCAGAUUUGCUAUCUGACAGACUUCUUGCUGGUGGUGGUUGGAAGGACUUUGCAAGUCUCAUAUUCAGCGCAGCAGCAAGACAUUUUAGAGGACUUCUUUCUCUUUGCUCACUGAUAUCUUCCUCAUCUCUUCCUUGUUUUCCUCCUGGCUGCCAGACUAGCAAUCUCUUGGGCUCUCAAAGGAAGCAGCAAAGGUUGCACAUGAAAGCAUCUGGGUGAGUCUUGAAUAUUUCCAGAGAAGGAGACUCCACAACCUCCCUGGACGUCCUGUUCCAGUAUUCUGUCACCCUCACAGUAAGGAA